CCGCGCCGGCCGCCGCACUGGCCGGUUGUUUUUUCCUGCGGGCGCUACCUGGCCGUGCCGUAGGUAGGCGUUUCUUGGAACCGUCACGUGAUAACGCGAUAAAGGGACAAAAACAGAUCGCGUUCCGCCGCAGCUAGGUGUUAUGUGAAGUGAAUAUUGAGAUGUGGCUGUGUGUGGUGUUUUAUCCGAUACUGGCUGUAAACAGCUGCUUUCCCGCGUUAAAUAGAAUGAAUGAAGAAAACACAUAAAAAAAGAAAUAGAAAAAAAAGGAAAACAACAAUAUUUCAAAAAUUCUACCUACUUUAUGUAUCGUUACCCCAUUUGGAAUUAUAGACAAGAUUGCAUUUUUUUAAUACGCUGCGAAUCCGAUGAAAACUAUCCAUUUAUUUAUUUAAAUAACAUUAUUGACCAAAAUAAAAUAUGGUACAGAAGGCGGACUUAAUGCUAGUAGCAUUCUCUACCAGACAACCUUUGGGAUGAACAGUGAAUCACGAACGCAAUACUUCAUUAUAGGAAAAUUAUCCAAUUCCCAAGAAAUGAAACAAGAAUCCAUAAUAAUAAAACCAAAAAAGAACCAAUAUUAAAGAGCUACAGUGGCGUUACAACGGAACAUAUAUACGAUAGGGAAGCAUAUAUUUUCAGAUAAAUAAAAGAAUUUUCCAAAUUGAUUUAUAACUGAUAAAGUUAUGAGGUCCUAUUACUUUAUAAAAACAUGACAGAUUCGAUGCAAGUCAAAUGUAAGAUAGAAAAAUAAAAUAUAUUUUUGAAUACUAAAUUAAUGCUCCUGUCAACUCAGGAUUUGCUGGAAGAGAUCUGCUACUGAGAUAAACUCGUCUGUUGUAAAUCUUCGAUCAAAAUAGUACCUACGUUGCAUUCUACGAAGAUUCGCGCAAUAUCUGUUACGACGGAUCAGUAUUCAAGAUUGGUAACGAAUUGGCCACAUAGCUCGGAGAAUCAGUUUUUUUUUCUUUCAUUUUACAAACGGAAUCAGUCAUUGACUUAAUCCACAGAGCAUUUCACUAUAUUAUUUAAGAGUCGGUACUGUCCGUAAAUUGAUGAAACUGGAAUAUGAAUCUAUGCAACCAUCUGAAAGCAACUACACAAUAAAAUUAAUAGGAUGUAAUAUUGAUUUAUAAUAUGCUUCAGUCUAAAAUAAUUAAACUAAAUUAUUAUCAUAAUGAAUGUAAACUAUGGGUAUAGAUAUAUAUAACCUAAAUAAAAAGAUUUAUUACUAUUUAUUGUAAAAUUUUUCAAAUUCAAUUAAUUGUUUACACAGAUUUUAUAUAAACAUUUUUCAUUUAUGCGAAGUGACGAAGAAUUUAUACAUCGAGAACUUUUUAAAACGCUUAACA
This is a long non-coding RNA of Galleria mellonella (greater wax moth), 1352 nucleotides long. RefSeq lists it as uncharacterized. Lineage: Eukaryota; Metazoa; Arthropoda; Insecta; Lepidoptera; Pyralidae. The record is from RefSeq and is a predicted model, not a curated record. The transcript has 3 exons.